UUUCUAGGCUUUCAAAACACAAGAUGGAUACAUUGUAGUAGGAGCAGGAAAUAAUCAACAGUUUGCUACUGUUUGCAAGAUUCUCAGUUUGCCUGAAAUUAUUCAUGACCCCAAAUACAAAAAUAACCAGCAGCGAGUGGUAAAUAGGAAAGAACUUAUUGGAAUAUUGUCAGCCAGGUUCUUGGAAGAAGAAACCUCCAAAUGGCUAGAACAUUUUGAGGGCAGUGGAGUUCCAUAUGGCCCAAUCAACAGCAUGAAGCAGGUGUUCUCAGAUCCUCAGGUUCUGCACAAUAAACUUAUGAUGGAGAUGGAGCAUCCAACAGUAGGGAAGAUUACUGUUCCAGGUUGGCACAUUUUCUUAAGAUUGAUAUUACUCACCAAAAUAAAACAUUUUGCAUGGGCUUCAAUGAGAUUCUGUGGCUGCAUUUGUACACUAUAUUAAACCAUGAAUCAAUAAACUAAUUGGUGAUACACUGGAUUCAUCAAGAUUAAAUUAGCAUAGUGAGUGAAUGAAGCUGCUAGGUCUUUAUCAUAUAUGAUUAAGAAUAUUGCAUGAGUCCAGUUUAUAUAUGUAAUUUCCAAAGCUAAAGAUCUAUCUAGCAUUCAGAUUUCGGAGACAGCCGCAGACACAGUGCAGACAAUUCUGGGUGGCACUUAAAACUGGA
Non-coding RNA from Thamnophis sirtalis, 665 nucleotides. The record is from RefSeq and is a predicted model, not a curated record. NCBI's taxonomy places the organism in Eukaryota, Metazoa, Chordata, Lepidosauria, Squamata, Natricidae.